CUACGGGCCGCAGCAGUGGGGAAUAUUGGACAAUGGGGGCAACCCUGAUCCAGCCAUGCCGCGUGUGUGAAGAAGGCCUUAGGGUUGUAAAGCACUUUCAGAUGUGAGGAAAGGUGUGAGCUUAAUACGUACAUACUGUGACGUUAGCAUCAGAAGAAGGACCGGCUAACUCCGUGCCAGCAGCCGCGGUAAUACGGAGGGUCCGAGCGUUAAUCGGAAUUACUGGGCGUAAAGCGCGCGUAGGUGGUUUCGUCAGUCAGAUGUGAAAGCCCCGGGCUCAACCUGGGAAUUGCACCUGAUACUGCGGAACUAGAGUACGAUAGAGGGGAGUGGAAUUUCCGGUGUAGCGGUGAAAUGCGUAGAGAUCGGAAGGAACACCAGUGGCGAAGGCGACUCCCUGGAUUGAUACUGACACUGAGGUGCGAAAGCGUGGGGAGCAAACAGGAUUAGAUACCCUAGUAGUC
This 464-nucleotide ribosomal RNA is filed under the name uncultured bacterium. Its description in RNAcentral is "partial 16S ribosomal RNA". It matches the Rfam family "Bacterial small subunit ribosomal RNA", at positions 339 to 795 of the family's 1533-position model. The record is from RNAcentral.